CAGUCGCCACGGGAAUACGAAGGGUGCAAGCGUUACUCGGAAUUACUGGGCGUAAAGGGUGCGUAGGCGGAUAGAUAAGUCAGUGGUGAAAGACGGUGGCUCAACCAUCGCAGUGCCGUUGAUACUGUUUAUCUUGAAUAUGGAUGAGGUAGGCGGAAUGUGGCAAGUAGCGGUGAAAUGCAUAGAUAUGCCACAGAACACCGAUUGCGAAGGCAGCUUACCAAGGCAAAAUUGACGCUGAGGCACGAAAGCGUGGGGAUCGAACAGGAUUAGAUACCCCCGUAGUCCCUGUCUCUUAUAC
This 301-nucleotide ribosomal RNA is filed under the name uncultured bacterium. RNAcentral describes it as "partial 16S ribosomal RNA". It matches the Rfam family "Bacterial small subunit ribosomal RNA", at positions 509 to 807 of the family's 1533-position model. The record is from RNAcentral.